UGUUUAGUUUUGUUGGGCAUUCGGUGGAUGCCUUGGCAUCAAGAGCUGAUGAAGGACGUUGCGGCCUGCGAUAUGCCUCGGGGAGUUGGCGAGCGAGCUUUGAUCCGAGGGUGUCCGAAUGGGGGAACCUAACCAGGGUUGUGCUUGGUUACCAUCAUCUGAACGUGUAUAGGGUGGUGGGGGGAACGCGGGGAAGUGAAACAUCUUAGUACCCGUAGGAAAAGAUAUUCCGUGAGUAGUGGCGAGCGAAAGCGGAGGAGGCUAAACCGUGUGCGUGUGAUACUCGGCGGGGGUUGCGUGUGCGGUGUUGUGGGGCUUGUUCGUCUCUUCUCUGCCGGGGAGGGGCUUGCGUGUGUGAUGGUAGUUGAACCGUGUGGGAUAGCGGACCGGAGUGCGUGAUAGUCGUGUAGAUGGACUGUUGCAUGCGUAGGUGGGAUAGGUGCCCGAGUAGUGCGGGACUCGUGAAAUCUCGUGUGAAUCUGCCAGGACCACCUGGUAAGCCUAAAUACUUCUUGAUGACCGAUAGUGCAUAGUACCGUGAGGGAAUGGUGAAAAGUACCCCGGGAGGGGAGUGAAAUAGUACCUGAAACCGUGUGCCUUUAAGCCGUCAGAGCCUUGUGGGGUGAUGGCGUGCCUUUUGAAGAAUGAGCCUGCGAGUCAGUGAUACGUGGCGUGCUUAACCCGUGUGGGGUAUGCGUAGCGAAAGCGAGUCUGAAAUAUGGCGUUUGUCGCGUGUUCUGGACCCGAAGCGGGGUGAUCUACCCAUGGCCAGGUUGAAGCAGAGGUAAGACUGUGUGGAGGACCGAACCCACCAGGGUUGAAAACCUGGGGGAUGAGCUGUGGGUAGGGGUGAAAGGCCAAUCAAACUCCGUGAUAGCUGGUUCUCCCCGAAAUGCAUUUAGGUGCAGCGUUGUGUGUUGCCUGGUGGAGGUAGAGCUACUGGAUGGCCGAUGGGCCCUAUGGGUUACUGACGUCAGCCAAACUCCGAAUGCCAUUAGGUUGAGCAUGGCAGUGAGACUGCGGGGGAUAAGCUUCGUAGUCGAGAGGGAAACAGCCCAGAUCAUCAGCUAAGGCCCCUAAGUGUGCGCUAAGUGGGAAAGGAUGUGAGAUCGCGGUGACAACCAGGAGGUUGGCUUAGAAGCAGCCAUCCUUGAAAGAGUGCGUAAUAGCUCACUGGUCAAGUGGUUUCGCGCCGACAAUGUAGCGGGGCUUAAGCGUACCGCCGAAGCUGUGGCACUCACACAUGAAAGAGCCUGGGCAGGGGACCUGCCU
This is a ribosomal RNA of 1272 nucleotides. It matches the Rfam family "Bacterial large subunit ribosomal RNA", at positions 1 to 1242 of the family's 2925-position model. The record is from Rfam.